Molecule: ribosomal RNA, 216 nt
Filed under: Glomeromycotina sp.
Lineage: Eukaryota; Fungi; Glomeromycota
Description: partial small subunit ribosomal RNA
Rfam family: Eukaryotic small subunit ribosomal RNA (bases 75-216)
Source: RNAcentral
GGGUCAGUAGGUUGGUCGUGCCACCGGUACGUACUGGUCUCACUGACUCCUCCUUCCUGAAGAACCGUAAUGCCAUUAAUUUGGUGUUGCGGGGAAACAGGACUGUUACUUUGAAAAAAUUAGAGUGUUUAAAGCAAGCUAACGCUUGAAUACAUUAGCAUGGAAUGAUGAAAUAGGACGAUCGAUCCUAUUUUGUUGGUUUCUAGGAUUGACGUA